GGGUAUGUGAGUUUGAAAUACUCAUCACAGUAUGACUGCAUAGGACUCAUUUCAUGAUUGUAACAAAGACCCCAAGCCAAAGGUCCUCCAGUAGCCACUCCAUAACCACCUGGUACAAGUAUUAUAAGAGCAAUGAACACCACACAGUUGUCCAAUUAAAACACAACUAAAUCAAUCACCUUACUACAUGCAACUCAAAACGCAAACAAUGAAUUCAAAUCAGAUGUCUCCAACUUAUCAUCUCUCGCCAAACAUCUCUCUACCUUAAAAUGCGAUUCAACACAUCAGACACCAUAUGUCAAUCAAAAACCAAAUCAUCUAAAGACAAUGCGUGCCAAACCAACUAAAGAUCCAAUUCCCUUCCCCGCAUUCAAUUUUCCAAAGAUUCACACAUUCAACAACUUAACCGUCGGAGAGAGACAACACAUGUUUUAAUUCAAUAAACCAGACUCAAACGUGAUAACUGAGUGAAUGCAUGAAAAAAUUGACAGCCCCGACUCAGUUCCAAACAAAUCAAGGUUACAGCAUAGUGAUAAAAUCGCACACAAUAAGAAACUCCAAUCAUUCAAAGUUUCAAACACCACCGACAAACAUCGCACAAUCUCAAAAUUGCUUGCUCGACCUAAUUCACGCUCGCACAUUCAACAACUCAACCGUCAAAGAAAAAUCAGACAGAGACAAGAUCAGAUCGCUCAUGUUCAUUUCGACAAAUCAAACUUAAAAAACACGUUCAAAAUCAGAGAAGCCCAAUCGUUAUCCAACACUUACAAAUGCAAAGACUGCGACAAUGCGUGAAAAAUUGACUGCACUGUCUCAGUUCCAGACAAAUCAAAGCUUUAAAGCAUGGCAAUCAAUCCAGACCUCGCAGCAACAAAUCCAAAUCAUCCAAAGUCUCAACUCAAGCACAAAAACACACACAGAUCUCACAAUCUCAAAACCGCAAGCUCAACUUAAACAAAAAAUUUCACACUCCAAACCAAACACACAAUCCAUAAACAAAAUUCACAAAAAUGUGGACUGUAGAGAACUCACAAGAGGUCUUGCUGCCGACAUGUCCGAGGAACGCGGCAAUCUCCAUCAUCUGCAUGGUCUUGUUGCCGGUGGUGCCGAAACCUUGCGGCUCGAAGAGAGAGGCGGCAGCGAUGAAGGAGUGGUAGUCCCAGAAUCCGACAGCGUGCGCCACCGGAGAGUUCCUCUUGGAGAACAGAUUCUCGAACUGGUAGGUCUGGAAAUAGUCCGUUAUAGUGAGAUUACAACAGUAAAUUGACCACCCCUUGCAUUCCCACCCUUUGUCGCAGUACUUCUUCCCGUGCUUGUACUUCACCAGCGUCUUCACGUUUGAGUCCUGCUGCGCCUCCACACGCGCCGCCACCACCGCGAGCACCACCAACGCGAUUGCCGCAACAGCGUUUCGCUUCGCCCUCUCCAUUUCUCUCUCUAUCUCUCUCUCUCUCUCCCUUCACGUACAGAGAAGAGGGAGAAUCUACCAAAUAAUAAUAACACUACGAGUUUUUCUGGUAGAAGGUCCUUCUCCUAUGGCGUUAUGCGU
This 1549-nucleotide long non-coding RNA is filed under the name Vigna radiata. Its description in RNAcentral is "long non-coding RNA (VRAD_LNC003217)". Lineage: Eukaryota; Viridiplantae; Streptophyta; Magnoliopsida; Fabales; Fabaceae. The record is from RNAcentral.